AGGUGGGUUUUUGUGUAUGAGUUGAGGAUUGGGAUUGUAGGGACUGCUCUCACUAUUGGUUUUUCUUGGUGGUUAUCGGUUUUGGGGCUGUUUCUGUACACUGUUUGUGGUGGUUGUUCGGAAACAUGGACUGGUUUUUCAGCUCAAGCUUUUGUUGGGCUUUGGGAUUUCUUUAAGCUUUCUUUGGCUUCUGGAUUCAUGCUGUUAUUGGAGAAUAUUUAUUUUAGAGUUUUGGUGAAAGUGUCCGGCUAUAUGCACAAUUCUAAGAUUGCUGUUGAUGCCCUUUCCAUCUGCAUGAGUAUCUAUGCUUGGGAGUCGAUGAUUCCGCUAGGCUAGCUUUCUGGCAGCAAUUGGGUACGUGAUCACUGGUUAAUGCGGGUGGCAAAUGAACUUGGUGCAGGCAACGCAAAAGGUGCAAAAUUUGCAACCACAGUUUCAGUCUUGACCUCCCUAGCUGUGGGACUUCUAUUUUCAUUAAUAAUAGUAGCCUUCCUUGAGAAACUUGCAAUGAUUUUUACCUCCAGCAUUCCUGUUAUUGCUAUGGUCAAUGAUUUAUCAGUCUUGUUGGCAUUCACCAUUUUCCUCAAUUGCAUUCAACCAGUGCUCUCAGGUAGGGAAUUAGACCAGGCAAAUAGAUUUUCGCUCUAGUAAUUGUUUGAUCUCAUGGAAAUAUUUGUGGUCAUA
Long non-coding RNA from Argentina anserina (silverweed cinquefoil), 684 nucleotides. RefSeq lists it as uncharacterized. The transcript is spliced from 4 exons. The record is from RefSeq and is a predicted model, not a curated record. NCBI's taxonomy places the organism in Eukaryota, Viridiplantae, Streptophyta, Magnoliopsida, Rosales, Rosaceae.